AUUGAACGCUGGCGGCAGGCUUAACACAUGCAAGUCGAGCGGGGUGAUGGUGCUUGCACUAUCACUUAGCGGCGGACGGGUGAGUAAUGCUUAGGAAUCUGCCUAUUAGUGGGGGACAACAUCUCGAAAGGGAUGCUAAUACCGCAUACGUCCUACGGGAGAAAGCAGGGGAUUACUUGUGACCUUGCGCUAAUAGAUGAGCCUAAGUCGGAUUAGCUAGUUGGUGGGGUAAAGGCCUACGAAGGCGACGAUCUGUAGCGGGUCUGAGAGGAUGAUACGCCACACUGGGACUGGGACACGGCCCAGACUCCUACGGGAGGCAGAAGUGGGGAAUAUUGGACAAUGGGGGGAACCCUGAUCCAGCCAUGCCGCGUGUGUGAAGAAGGCCUUAUGGUUGUAAAGCACUUUAAGCGAGGAGGAGGCUCUUUUGGUUAAUACCCAAGAUGAGUGGACGUUACUCGCAGAAUAAGCACCGGCUAACUCUGUGCCAGCAGCCGCCGUAA
Molecule: ribosomal RNA, 503 nt
Filed under: uncultured bacterium
Lineage: Bacteria
Description: partial 16S ribosomal RNA
Rfam family: Bacterial small subunit ribosomal RNA
Source: RNAcentral